RNAcentral lists this long non-coding RNA (220 nucleotides) under Penaeus japonicus. Its description in RNAcentral is "uncharacterized LOC122266098, transcript variant X1". The record is from RNAcentral. Lineage: Eukaryota; Metazoa; Arthropoda; Malacostraca; Decapoda; Penaeidae.
AUAUACAUAUAUAUAUAUAUAUAUAUAUAUAUAUACAAACAAACAUAUGUUGUUAUACAUAUUGUAUAAAGGGAUAUGUAAUGAUAUAUAAGGUUGUAUGUUAUCAUUAUCAUAUCAUUGUAAUCUAUAUAAUUUUACUCCAGAACAUUUCAGUUUACCGCUUACAAUUGCAUCAGUAAAUAUGAAAGACUUUGUCAUAAAUUAAAAUUGUUGCACUAAA